AGCAUGGCACAUCAAUGCAAGCUAUGGCAAGAAGGUCAGAUGUGUUUGUCAGCACAGUGUCCAGAGCAUGGAGCAGAUACCAGGAGACAGGUCAGAACAUCCGAAGACAUGGAGGGGGCCGUAGGAGGGCAAGAACCCAGCAGCAGGACCACUACCUUCUCCUUUGUGUAAUGAGGAACAGGAAGAGCAGUCCCAGAGCCCUGCAAAAUGACGUCCAGCAGGCCACUAAUAUCCAUGUGUCUGUUCAAACUGUCAGAAACAGACUCCGUGAGGGUGGUAUGAGGGCCUGAUGUCCACAAGUUAUGAAGUGCUUGCAGCCCAA
Long non-coding RNA from Bufo bufo (common toad), 322 nucleotides. RefSeq lists it as uncharacterized. The record is from RefSeq and is a predicted model, not a curated record. The transcript is spliced from 3 exons. Lineage: Eukaryota; Metazoa; Chordata; Amphibia; Anura; Bufonidae.